UACACAAUGUCCCAGGAUUC
RNAcentral lists this non-coding RNA (20 nucleotides) under Mus musculus (house mouse). Lineage: Eukaryota; Metazoa; Chordata; Mammalia; Rodentia; Muridae. The record is from RNAcentral.